AGCUUCUUGCAGAAUAACAAUUCACCUUCAUAUGUUCCACUAUUAUUAUUGUUGAGAGACGCAACUACUCAAGAUGGAGAACUCCAGGCAGAUAUCAAUAGACACAAGCACACAAGUACUCAGCAAGAUCCGAAAAUCUUAUCUGCUGCAUCUAAUGGGGAUCCAUUUUUUUAUGAUGAUGGGGACGGAAUCACUGCGCUCAAACCAUUGGUUCGCGUUUCCGAAGGAGGUAAUCGCUGGCCAAGACAAGAGACUUUGGCACUCUUGAAAAUAAGGUCGGAUAUGGACAUGGCAUUUCGAGAUGCCAGUGUAAAGGGUCCCUUGUGGGAAGAGGUUUC
Molecule: unclassified non-coding RNA, 338 nt
Filed under: Hevea brasiliensis (rubber tree)
Lineage: Eukaryota; Viridiplantae; Streptophyta; Magnoliopsida; Malpighiales; Euphorbiaceae
Source: RNAcentral